GACGAACCGAGCGAACGUUGUUCGGAAUCACUGGGCUUAAAGGGCGCGUAGGCGGGUGCUCAAGUCCGGGGUGAAAUCCUCCAGCUCAACUGGAGAACUGCCUCGGAUACUGGGUGCCUCGAGUGUGGUAGGGGUGUGCGGAACUAUCGGUGGAGCGGUGAAAUGCGUUGAUAUCGAUAGGAACUCCGGUGGCGAAGGCGGCACACUGGACCACAACUGACGCUGAGGCGCGAAAGCCAGGGGAGCAAACGGG
RNAcentral lists this ribosomal RNA (253 nucleotides) under uncultured bacterium. RNAcentral describes it as "partial 16S ribosomal RNA". It matches the Rfam family "Bacterial small subunit ribosomal RNA", at positions 524 to 776 of the family's 1533-position model. The record is from RNAcentral.